AUAUUAAUAAGCGGAGGAAAAGAAACUAACCAGGAUUCCCCUAGUAACGGCGAGUGAAGCGGGAAGAGCUCAACCCGAGAAUCGACGCGCCCAACGGUGCGCCGAGUUGUGGGGUAUCGAGGCAUGAUCAGUGGCGACCCCGGUAGAAAUCUUUUGGAAAAAGGUAUCAUAGAGGGUGAGAAUCCCGUCUGUGACUGGGAGUUCGCUGCGUACGAUCUGCUUUCCAAGAGUCGAGUUGUUUGGGAUUGCAACUCUAAAUGGGUGGUAAAUUUCAUCUAAAGCUAAAUAUCAGCGAGAGACCGAUAGCGAACAAGUACCGUGAGGGAAAGAUGAAAAGAACUUUGAAAAGAGAGUUAAAAAGUACUUGAAAUUGUUAAGAGAGAAGCGAUGGCAACCAGUAGUGCGCCGUGGAGUAUUCUUGUUCUUGGGGCGGUUUGGAGUGGGUUUUGAGUUCCGAAUGGUCUUGAAUCUGCUUCCACAAAAUCGUUUCGGGGCGGGUUCUGCUGUGCGGAUGAAGCGAGUCAGCAUCGGUUUGAGUCGUGGCAGAAAGCUUAAGGAAAGGUAGGGUCGGCUAGCAAUAGUUGGACCUGUUAUAGACCUUGAGCUCUACCAUGACCCGGACUGAGGCUCUGCAAAGCGCUUUUUCGG
This 648-nucleotide ribosomal RNA is filed under the name uncultured fungus. Its description in RNAcentral is "eukaryotic LSU rRNA". It matches the Rfam family "Eukaryotic large subunit ribosomal RNA", at positions 40 to 620 of the family's 3401-position model. Lineage: Eukaryota; Fungi. The record is from RNAcentral.